CACACACACACACAUACUUUUGAACAGCUGGUGCUGGGCUGGCUGGCUACAUACAGCCAGGGGACAGAUAGCUGGCUGAGAGAGGGAAUGGGAGCACGUUGCUCAAUCAAUGAGCCAUCAAUCACACACUUACACACACACACGAACACAAAUGCAUACACACAGCAAGAAGGAGCAAAGACAUGAAACAGGAGACCAUAUCCUUUAACUACCACUCAAAAGAAAGCCAUCAAAGUGCUGGCUCUGGCUCCAGGCCUUUUUCCAUGGCCAAAUUUCCAGUCACUGCUUUGUCUUGUGGUGGUUUCAUUAGAGCUACUACUAGACUCCUCUGUGUGUGUGUAUGUGUGUGUGUGUGUGUAUGUGUGUUGCACCACAGCAGUUAUCUGCUAUCUAACUAGCUCACUGCUGCGGGGUUUCUUUUCUGCAUUCUGCUGAGCUCCCAGACAGCAAGAGGUUGUGAAAAGGCUGGCAAGGAGGCGGCAGCAAUCAUAUACUUCUCCCCUGUGCUGCCCCUGGAGCCCCCAGCAGAAGACGGUACGAGCAAGGAAAGGUCGAGGCCACGAGAUGAACGGUCCCACCUCUUGCUGGAAUGAGCCUUAAUUUGAUAGGGGUUGGGCUGAGCCAGGACUGUGAGAAGGAAGUCGCUCCUAUUGGAUCCAGAUGUGAGCGGAAGGACAGACAACAGCUCGACUGAAAGCCACCGGACAUGAUGUGGCAGACAAUAGAGGCCGUGGACAGCUGUUAAUCUAGUAACAUCUGGCUCCGUCAACCCACAUUUUUCUCUCCCAUAGUGAAUGGAUACGGACUAUUCUCAGAAAUGACAUGGUGAUCCCUUGAUCCGCUCUUGCAUCAGAUAUGUCUGGCAUGAGAUAGCUGAAGCUAGCACAGACGUGUGCACACACACAUACAAGCAUCAUUUGCGGUUAUGGGGCAUGAGACAUGAGGUCUCAACAGGAGCCAUUGUAGACUGCACUACCAGGCAGCCACACUGGGGCCCAAUCGCCCCUCUGAUAUGGCUCGAGUCUGAACACCUACGUCAGCCCACAAGCAGCCCGCGUGACGUCAAGCACAUGUGUGCUUUGACCAGAAGCCUGCACGAGUUGGUUUCACACAGAGAACGAAAAGGAGGACGGAAAGAGAAGAGAGCACAAUCUUGAUGUCUCAACUAUUUGUAGCCCCUAAAACAGAAAGUGAGAUCAGCUUUGAUUAGAACACGCAAAAUAAAACAGCAGUAUUAGUAUUUCGCAGCAAGCAUCACUGUCAGUCUAAUGGUAUAAUUAUACGUCUGCUCUCAAAUAACUCUGAGGCAUUCUUGGUGCCCACAGUAGGCCAAUGUUCAAAUAAAAUAGCACUCUCUGGUUGACCAGCAGCUGCUGGCUUAUAUAUAAAGAGAAGUGAUACAGAUGCCAAAGGAGACAGCAAUAAAAGUAAAUCAUUUCACCAGUCAAGGGUACAUCAUGUCAGAUCGAAUGGGCAGAUUUCUUGGAAUAAAAAAAAAAAUCAGACCUUUGUAAGUCAAUAUUGCCCUUUGUUCUUUGUGCUUCUUGUGUAAUACAAUGUUGUAUUCUGUUUUCUGCGUCAGCGCAAGGUAACGGAAUAUAACAGUCGUGUCUGGUGUUGUAUUACAUUAGCUAAUAAAUGACAUCCUGAUGCUGAGUUAACUUUGUUGUCUGUUUGG
Long non-coding RNA from Haplochromis burtoni (Burton's mouthbrooder), 1678 nucleotides. RefSeq lists it as uncharacterized. The transcript is spliced from 4 exons. The record is from RefSeq and is a predicted model, not a curated record. NCBI's taxonomy places the organism in Eukaryota, Metazoa, Chordata, Actinopteri, Cichliformes, Cichlidae.